Molecule: ribosomal RNA, 339 nt
Filed under: Triticum aestivum (bread wheat)
Lineage: Eukaryota; Viridiplantae; Streptophyta; Magnoliopsida; Poales; Poaceae
Description: partial small subunit ribosomal RNA
Source: RNAcentral
AUGUCAAAACCUGAAGACACUAUCGAUACUGGCGCUCUGGAAAUGAAAUCCUUGCAAUUGGACAUCAAGACGUUGCGGCAAGACAGGGAAGAGGACAAGAAAGAAUUCUACGAAUUCACGGCGUCAGUUAACAAGAAUUUUGCCAGCAUCCAGCGCAAUUUUCAGAAGAUUCAGGCCAGUCUGCAAAAGCUUACUGACAGCACUUGCAACGAUGAGGAUGAGGAAGAGGAAGAACCUCCAUCUGCACAAGCAAGUAACCAUGCUACUCCCCAGACUGUGCCUCCAGGAAGACCCAAGCAACUGCCAAGCAACCAUCUGGCAGCAGACAAAGUUGCUUGA